GGAUAACAUGCCCUUAAGUGGAGGAUAAUCUCGGGAAAUUGAGGAUAAUACUCCAUAAAUCACAGGAUCUGGAACGACCUGUGGUUGAAAGUUCCGGCGCUCGAGGAUUGGUCUGCGGCCUAUCAGGUAGUAGUGGGUGUAAUGGACCCACUAGCCUAUGACGGGUAUGGGCCUUGAGAGAGGGAGCCCAGAGUUGGAUUCUGAGACACGAAUCCAGGCCCUACGGGGCGCAGCAGUCGCGAAAACUUCACAAUGGGGGCAACCCCGAUGAGGGAAUUCCUAGUGCUAGCACAUUUGUGUUAGCUUUUCUUUAGCUUAGAAAACUAGAGGAAUAAGGGCUGGGUAAGACGGGUGCCAGCCGCCGCGGUAAUACCUGCAGCCCAAGUGGUGGUCGAUUUUAUUGAGUCUAAAACGUUCGUAGCCGGUUCGGUAAAUCUUUGGGUAAAUCGGGGGGCUUAACCUCCCGACUUCCGAGGAGACUGCCGAACUUGGGACCGGGAGAGGCUAGAGGUACUUCUGGGGUAGGGGUAAAAUCCUGUAAUCCUAGAAGGACCACCGGUGGCGAAGGCGUCUAGCUAGAACGGAUCCGACGGUGAGGGACGAAGCCCUGGGUCGCAAACGGGAUUAGAUACCCCGGUAGUCCAGGGUGUAAACGCUGCAGACUUGGUGUUGGAGGCCCUUUGGGGGCAUCCAGUGCCGGAGAGAAGUUGUUAAGUCUGCUACUUGGGGAGUACGUCCGCAAGGAUGAAACUUAAAGGAAUUGGCGGGGGAGCACCGCAACGGGAGGAGCGUGCGGUUUAAUUGGAUUCAACACCGUAAAACUCACCAGCAGCGACUGUUACAUGAAAGUCAGGCGAUGACCUUACUAGAUUUUCAGAGAGGUGGUGCAUGGC
RNAcentral lists this ribosomal RNA (893 nucleotides) under uncultured archaeon. RNAcentral describes it as "bacterial SSU rRNA". It matches the Rfam family "Archaeal small subunit ribosomal RNA", at positions 102 to 998 of the family's 1478-position model. The record is from RNAcentral.